ACCCUCAUCGGACACUCCCCAGUCCACAGCAGCGCACUGGCCGCAGGGCUCACUGUAUCCCCCCUGGAGGAAGAGUCCAACAGUCAGAUAUCGACUACAUAACAGCACAGACCGCCAAACAAUACUACCGAAAGGAGAAACUCACGCAAACCUCCCUCAAAUCCCCUUCCCCACCUCUUGGAGAAAGCUGCUUGUUUUCACCACUGGGCCAAUUUCAUGGUUUACUGCCUCCCACGCUCUCUAGUGUUCUCUAUGCGAAAUGCAGCAUUGUUGCCAAUGGAAAUCAGGAACAGUCAGUAACUGCAGGUGUGGGUAUUAUUCUUCACACUGAAGCACAACGGACUGCUCUUCCUCAACUAUGGCACGCUUUACAAUCCCAGUCAUCCUCCACAAAUGUCGCAUGGCGUGAUUAGGGAUUGUGGGAGGCUGUGGGCGAACAGAAAAUUACACUGAGUCUUGCUCACUUGGUUCUUAUCUGAUUCUCUCCAGCAUCAGAUACAGUGUUUGAUAUGAGAUGAAGGCAGUGGAAUCUUCAUACACGGAAAAUCCUAUUGUUGCCCACCUCAGGUCUGCGUCCUGUCGGUUACCAUGGCAACUACGUAGUGGCAGCCGGAGCGAAUGGAGGGGGUAGAUCAUGCAUAAUCAGAAGGAGAGCGUGUGUAGAGUGCACAGUUCUCAUCUCAAAGAGGCUGUCAGAACUGCUAGAAUUAUGCGCCCACAAAGUAGAAGAUGUUUUGUGGGCUCUGGGUCGACCACCGUUUCUAUUGGAAGCAAUUAAAUGUUACACAUUCAUAAGAUGAUUUGAAUAUACCUGUUUUAGUAAUCAUCUAAGGGUUAAUAUGCAGAGGCACAUUUGAGUGGUGGUGUCAUUAACCAAUAUUUUUUGACUUUGUUCAUAUUUAGGGUCCAAGAGACCCCAAUGUUAUACGAGUAAAAAUAGUAAUAGUAAUUUAAGUUUGUUGCACCAUUAACCUGUGGAAGUAUAACUUUUAUU
Carassius carassius (crucian carp) is the source of this 994-nucleotide long non-coding RNA. RefSeq lists it as uncharacterized. The record is from RefSeq and is a predicted model, not a curated record. Lineage: Eukaryota; Metazoa; Chordata; Actinopteri; Cypriniformes; Cyprinidae. The transcript has 3 exons.